ACCAAGGCGACGACGGGUAGCCGACCUGAGAGGGUGACCGGCCACAUUGGGACUGAGACACGGCCCAGACUCCUACGGGAGGCAGCAGUGGGGAAUAUUGCACAAUGGGCGAAAGCCUGAUGCAGCAACGCCGCGUGAGGGAUGAAGGCCUUCGGGUUGUAAACCUCUUUCAGCAGGGACGAAGCGCAAGUGACGGUACCUGCAGAAGAAGCACCGGCUAACUACGUGCCAGCAGCCGCGGUAAUACGUAGGGUGCAAGCGUUGUCCGGAAUUACUGGGCGUAAAGAGUUCGUAGGCGGUUUGUCGCGUCGUUUGUGAAAACCAGCAGCUCAACUGCUGGCUUGCAGGCGAUACGGGCAGACUUGAGUACUGCAGGGGAGACUGGAAUUCCUGGUGUAGCGGUGAAAUGCGCAGAUAUCAGGAGGAACAC
Molecule: ribosomal RNA, 430 nt
Filed under: Escherichia coli
Lineage: Bacteria; Pseudomonadati; Pseudomonadota; Gammaproteobacteria; Enterobacterales; Enterobacteriaceae
Description: bacterial SSU rRNA
Rfam family: Bacterial small subunit ribosomal RNA
Source: RNAcentral